RNAcentral lists this ribosomal RNA (253 nucleotides) under uncultured bacterium. RNAcentral's name for it is "partial 16S ribosomal RNA". It matches the Rfam family "Bacterial small subunit ribosomal RNA", at positions 524 to 776 of the family's 1533-position model. The record is from RNAcentral.
UACGUAGGGUGCAAGCGUUGUCCGGAAUUAUUGGGCGUAAAGAGCUCGUAGGCGGCCUGUCGCGUCGGCUGUGAAAACCCGGGGCUCAACCCCGGGCCUGCAGUCGAUACGGGCAGGCUAGAGUCCGGCAGGGGAGACUGGAAUUCCAGGUGUAGCGGUGAAAUGCGCAGAUAUCAGGAGGAACACCGGUGGCGAAGGCGGGUCUCUGGGCCGGAACUGACGCUAAGGAGCGAAAGCGUGGGGAGCGAACAGG